Molecule: ribosomal RNA, 441 nt
Filed under: uncultured bacterium
Lineage: Bacteria
Description: bacterial SSU rRNA
Rfam family: Bacterial small subunit ribosomal RNA
Source: RNAcentral
AACGCGAAGAACCUUACCUGGGCUUGAACCGCUACUGACCAAGGGUAGAAAUAUCCUCUUCCCGCAAGGGACAGUAGUAGAGGUGCUGCAUGGCUGUCGUCAGCUCGUGCCGUGAGGUGUUGGGUUAAGUCCCGCAACGAGCGCAACCCUUAUUCGUAGUUGCCACCCGCAAGGGGGAACUCUACGAGGACUGCUCCGGAUAACGGAGAGGAAGGUGGGGAUGACGUCAAGUCAGCACGGCCUUUAUGUCCAGGGCUACACACGUGUUACAAUGCACGGUACAGACUGUUGCGAACCCGCGAGGGGGAGCUAAUCGGAUAAAACCGUGCUCAGUUCGGAUUGCAGUCUGCAACUCGCCUGCAUGAAGUCGGAAUCGCUAGUAAAUGCCGAUCAGCACGCGGCAUUGAAUACGUUCCCGGGCCUUGUACACACCGCUCGCGA